Molecule: ribosomal RNA, 1356 nt
Filed under: Triticum aestivum (bread wheat)
Lineage: Eukaryota; Viridiplantae; Streptophyta; Magnoliopsida; Poales; Poaceae
Description: partial small subunit ribosomal RNA
Source: RNAcentral
AUGGCUGCCAGGUGGGCCCCGCCGGCCGGCCUCCUCCUGCUCCUGCUGCUGGCGGUCCUGCUGCCGGCGCGCGCGGACAGGCCGGCGAGGACCGCCCACGCGGACGACGACCCGGAGGCCUCCUCCGCCGUCUUCCAGCUCUACGGCAACGUCUACCCCCACGGGUUGUACUACGUGGCCAUGAGCAUUGGCAACCCGGCGAAACCAUACUUCCUUGACGUCGACACCGGCAGCGACCUCACCUGGCUGCAGUGCGACGCCCCCUGCGUCAGCUGCUCCAAGGUGCCACACCCGCUCUACAGACCAACAAAGAACAAGCUGGUACCGUGUGUUGAUCAGCUGUGCACCUCUCUGCACGGCGGCCUCAGUAAAAACCACAAGUGCGACUCACCGAAGCAGCAGUGCGACUAUGAAGUUAAGUAUGCCGACCAGGGUUCAUCCCUUGGCGUGCUCGUCAACGACAGUUUUGCAGUCCGCCUUGCGAAUGCCUCCGUUGUCCGCCCCAGUCUUGCAUUCGGGUGUGGGUAUGACCAGGAGGUCGGGAGCAGCACUGAGGUUGCGCCCACUGAUGGUGUGCUUGGGCUUGGGAGUGGAUCGAUCAGCCUGCUUUCACAGUUCAAGCAGCAUGGGAUCACCAAGAACGUGGUUGGCCACUGCCUCAGCAUGAGAGGAGGGGGAUUCCUCUUCUUUGGGGAUAAUCUCGUGCCUUAUUCACGUGCAACAUGGGUACCAAUGGCUAGGAGUGCAUUCAGGAAUUAUUACUCACCUGGCUCAGCAAGCCUGUAUUUUGGUGGCCGGUCACUUGGCGUGAGACCUAUGGAAGUAGUAUUGGACAGCGGAAGCUCAUUCACCUACUUCUCUGCACAACCAUAUCAAGCGCUUGUCACUGCACUUAAGGGUGAUCUAAGCAAGACGCUGAAAGAGGUGUCUGACCCCUCUCUGCCUCUAUGCUGGAAAGGAAAGAAACCAUUCAAAUCCGUGCUUGAUGUCAAGAAGGAGUUCAAAUCAUUGGUUCUGAACUUUGCCAAUGGCAAGAAGGCGCUCAUGGAGAUCCCUCCUGAGAACUACCUCAUCGUCACUAAAUACGGGAAUGCAUGUUUGGGCAUCCUUAACGGAUCAGAGAUUGGACUCAAGGAUCUGAACAUUGUUGGAGAUAUUACAAUGCAGGACCAGAUGGUGAUAUAUGACAAUGAGAGAGGGCAGAUUGGAUGGAUCCGAGCACCCUGUGAUAGAAUCCCCAAUGAAAAUACCAUUCAUGGAUUUGAGGAAGGUUAUUGUUGGCCCCAGUUCCCCAGCAGCAUCUUUGGUAUUCAGAACGAAGAGUGUGCAGUUAACUACCGUUCGAACAAAGAGUGA